GACGAACGCUGGCGGCGUGCUUAACACAUGCAAGUCGAACGGAAAGGCCCUGCUUGCAGGGUACUCGAGUGGCGAACGGGUGAGUAACACGUGGGUGAUCUGCCCUGCACUUCGGGAUAAGCCUGGGAAACUGGGUCUAAUACCGGAUAGGAGCCAUUUUUAGUGUGAUGGUUGGAAAGUUUUUUCGGUGUAGGAUGAGCUCGCGGCCUAUCAGCUUGUUGGUGGGGUAAUGGCCUACCAAGGCGGCGACGGGUAGCCGGCCUGAGAGGGUGGACGGCCACAUUGAGACUUAGGUACGGCCCAGGCGCCUACGAGAGGACGAAGUGGGGAAUAUUGAACAAGGGACGCCGGCCGGGUGCAGAGGGCCCGCGGGUGGGAUAGCGGCCUUCGUGUUAUAGAAUCGUUUCGCUUGAGACGAAGGCUUUUGUGACGGUACCUAGAUAAGAAGCACCGGCUAACUACGUG
RNAcentral lists this ribosomal RNA (465 nucleotides) under uncultured bacterium. RNAcentral's name for it is "partial 16S ribosomal RNA". It matches the Rfam family "Bacterial small subunit ribosomal RNA", at positions 28 to 507 of the family's 1533-position model. The record is from RNAcentral.